RNAcentral lists this ribosomal RNA (592 nucleotides) under uncultured bacterium. RNAcentral describes it as "bacterial SSU rRNA". The stretch from base 1 to 523 matches the Rfam family "Bacterial small subunit ribosomal RNA", at positions 338 to 873 of the family's 1533-position model. The record is from RNAcentral.
CCUACGGGAGGCAGCAGUGGGGAAUAUUGCACAAUGGGCGAAAGCCUGAUGCAGCGGCGCCGCGUGAGGGACGACGGCCUUCGGGUUGUAAACCUCUUUCAGCAGGGACGAAGCGCAAGUGACGGUACCUGCAGAAGAAGCACCGGCUAACUACGUGCCAGCAGCCGCGGUAAUACGUAGGGUGCAAGCGUUGUCCGGAAUUACUGGGCGUAAAGAGUUCGUAGGCGGUUUGUCACGUCGUUUGUGAAAACUCACAGCUCAACUGUGAGCCUGCAGGCGAUACGGGCAGACUUGAGUACUGCAGGGGAGACUGGAAUUCCUGGUGUAGCGGUGAAAUGCGCAGAUAUCAGGAGGAACACCGGUGGCGAAGGCGGGUCUCUGGGCAGUAACUGACGCUGAGGAACGAAAGCGUGGGUAGCAAACAGGAUUAGAUACCCUGGUAGUCCACGCCGUAAACGGUGGGCGCUAGGUGUGGGUUCCUUCCACGGAAUCCGUGCCGUAGCUAACGCAUUAAGCGCCCGCCUGGGGNGGACGGCGCGAGACGAACUACAAGAGUAGACGCGNGAGAGNGCGACGCGACGACGAGGAGAGG